GGGGCUGUAGCUCAGAUGGUUAGAGCAGUGCCUUGUCACGGCAAAGGUCGUCGGUUCAAGUCCGAUUAGCCCCG
RNAcentral lists this transfer RNA (74 nucleotides) under Symplocastrum torsivum CPER-KK1. RNAcentral's name for it is "Phormidiaceae cyanobacterium CPER-KK1 tRNA". It matches the Rfam family "tRNA". From Rfam's summary of the family: Transfer RNA (tRNA) molecules are approximately 80 nucleotides in length. Their secondary structure includes four short double-helical elements and three loops (D, anti-codon, and T loops). Lineage: Bacteria; Bacillati; Cyanobacteriota; Cyanophyceae; Oscillatoriales; Microcoleaceae. RNAcentral also lists the same sequence under 1 other name. The record is from Rfam by way of RNAcentral.